RNAcentral lists this long non-coding RNA (380 nucleotides) under Nicotiana benthamiana. Its description in RNAcentral is "long non-coding RNA (NBEN_LNC022105)". The record is from RNAcentral. Lineage: Eukaryota; Viridiplantae; Streptophyta; Magnoliopsida; Solanales; Solanaceae.
AGGAAACGGAAGCAGGUUGUUCCUGCAUGAAAAAGAGUUGAUGAAAAUGCAGUCUCUUCAAAGAGGUCCAGUCCCUCCAUCUGGACCAUCUGGUUGCACCAAUAUCCCUGGAAAUGGUGGCUCUGGCUCAGGUUGACCACUCAAUGAAAUUCACUUUGCUGGUCGACAUGUUAAUUUGUUAAGAGCUACUUCUUCUGCUUAUCCCAGCAGCCUCAUGGUUCAGUUUGGUGUCGCUCUACGUUAAUAGGAAUGAAGCUCAUCUACAGUGCAACAACUGAGGAUUAUAUUAGCAAGAUGGUGUCUUUUAUUUUUUUUAUUCUUUACAUUUCUUACAACUCCUUUUUGGAUUUUCAUCGGGAGAACACUAGCUAUCGUUUCAG